RNAcentral lists this ribosomal RNA (466 nucleotides) under uncultured bacterium. Its description in RNAcentral is "partial 16S ribosomal RNA". It matches the Rfam family "Bacterial small subunit ribosomal RNA", at positions 28 to 507 of the family's 1533-position model. The record is from RNAcentral.
GAUGAACGCUGGCGGCGUGCUUAACACAUGCAAGUCGAACGGAAAGGCCACAGCUGGCUGUGGUACUCGAGCGGCGAACGGGUGAGUAACACGUGGGUGAUCUGCCCUGUACUUCGGGAUAAGCGUGGGAAACUGGGACUAAUACCGGAUAGGAAUCACAUGUGGGUGUGUGGUUGGAAAGCUUUUGCGGUAUGGGAUGAGCUCGCGGCCUAUCAGCUUGUUGGUGGGGUAAUGGCCUACCAAGGCGUCGACGGGUAGCCGGCCUGAGAGGGUGUACGGCCACAUUGGGACUGAGAUACGGCCCAGACUCCUACGGGAGGCAGCAGUGGGGAAUAUUGCACAAUGGGCGCAAGCCUGAUGCAGCGACGCCGCGUGGGGGAUGACGGCCUUCGGGUUGUAAACUCCUUUCGUCAGGGACGAAGCGAAAGUGACGGUACCUGGAUAAGAAGCACCGGCUAACUACGUG